RNAcentral lists this transfer RNA (76 nucleotides) under Gammaproteobacteria bacterium. RNAcentral's name for it is "tRNA-Glu". It matches the Rfam family "tRNA". From Rfam's summary of the family: Transfer RNA (tRNA) molecules are approximately 80 nucleotides in length. Their secondary structure includes four short double-helical elements and three loops (D, anti-codon, and T loops). RNAcentral also lists the same sequence under 3 other names. The record is from RNAcentral. Lineage: Bacteria; Pseudomonadati; Pseudomonadota; Gammaproteobacteria.
GUCCCCUUCGUCUAGAGGCCUAGGACAUCGCCCUUUCACGGCGGCAACAGGGGUUCGAAUCCCCUAGGGGACGCCA